Molecule: transfer RNA, 67 nt
Filed under: Ascarosepion mestus
Lineage: Eukaryota; Metazoa; Mollusca; Cephalopoda; Sepiida; Sepiidae
Description: tRNA-Val
Source: RNAcentral
CAAGGUUUAACAUAAUAUAAUGUAUCUCACUUACAUUGAGAAUAUGGUUGAUUUUAAUCAGCUUUGA